GCAGGAACUAAAACGGGGGACGCCAGUUCCUCAAGAUGAGGCGUUCAAGAUCACUCACGUGAAGAAGAAGGCAAACGCUAAUGAUCCAGAUGACUGGUGUGACGAACGGGCUAAACAGACCUACAAUCAGGUUCAACAGUCAAAGGCAGAGUUUCUUCGUACUCAGCCACCCAACACACAGCUGACACAAGAACAAAAGGAGGAAAGGUGGCUUGAGAGUGUUGGUGGUCCCACUAGGUUUGGCACAGCUUAUGGAAUGCCACAUCGUGCAUUUCGUUAAUACCGGUCGCCCCUGGAAGGCCUAUAUUCUUCCAAUACCGAGUCGUUCGAUAGAGUGAGUGCUAUGGCCAUGGAGCAAAAGAUUGCUGAGCUAUCUAGCCAGCUACAAGCCUUAGAGGAAAGGAAGAGGCGGAGGGACGUGCAGUUUGACGGUAUGAGGGCCCAAUUAGACGCAUUACUAGCUUCGAGGGGGAUUCCCUCGUGUCCUGAUGAUGCUCGUAACCCCCAUACUCAAUGUAGUGGUGCGGAUAAUGAUGGGACUCACGUGUCAAACACACAAAGGCAUGUUUAAAUAUUAAUGUUAUGGUGGAUUUGUGGAUUUGCGAGGGGUAAAGUAGUCUAAUGUUGUAGACUAACUUAGUGUAGACUAGUUUAAUGUUUUGUGGAUGUUUACCAAUGUUGAAGUAGUUUAAUAUUGUUUUGAUGUUUGCGAAGGUUGAAGUAGCUUAAUUAAUGUCUCUUGUAAAUGUUUGAUUGACGUUUUUAUUCAACUUUGAAGUAGUUUCGAAUUGAAUUUGAUGUUUUGGUGGUUGUAAUAUAUGUGUUGUAAUAGUAGCUUAUUGUUUUA
This is a long non-coding RNA of Lycium barbarum (goji berry), 847 nucleotides long. RefSeq lists it as uncharacterized. The record is from RefSeq and is a predicted model, not a curated record. Lineage: Eukaryota; Viridiplantae; Streptophyta; Magnoliopsida; Solanales; Solanaceae. The transcript is spliced from 2 exons.